RNAcentral lists this ribosomal RNA (429 nucleotides) under Bacteroidota bacterium. RNAcentral describes it as "Bacteroidetes bacterium partial 16S ribosomal RNA". It matches the Rfam family "Bacterial small subunit ribosomal RNA", at positions 355 to 776 of the family's 1533-position model. The record is from RNAcentral. Lineage: Bacteria; Pseudomonadati; Bacteroidota.
UAGGGAAUCUUCCGCAAUGGACGCAAGUCUGACGGAGCAACGCCGCGUGAGUGAAGAAGGAUUUCGGUUCGUAAAACUCUGUUGUUAGAGAAGAACAGCGCAUAGAGUAACUGUUAUGCGUGUGACGGUAUCUAACCAGAAAGCCACGGCUAACUACGUGCCAGCAGCCGCGGUAAUACGUAGGUGGCAAGCGUUGUCCGGAUUUAUUGGGCGUAAAGCGAGCGCAGGCGGUCAAUUAAGUCUGAUGUGAAAGCCCCCGGCUCAACCGGGGAGGGUCAUUGGAAACUGGUUGACUUGAGUGGAGAGGAGGAGGGUGGAAUUCCAUGUGUGACGGUGAAAUGCGUAGAUAUAGGGAGGAACACCGGUGGGGAAGGCGACUCUCUGGUCUGUAACUGACGCUGAGGCUCGAAAGCGUGGGUAGCAAACAGG